GCUAUCUGGUUAUUUUCCCUUAACCUAGCCACCUCUUGUGUGAUGAAGAAAAAGUAUGAUCAAAGACACUUCUUUAGUAUUCCAGGACAGAGAUAUGCUAAGACUUCCAGUUGAAUGUUGAGCAGAAGUGGUGAGAGGAGACAUUCUUGCUUUGCUCUCGAUUGUAGGGGGAAAGCAUCUAAUUUCUAACCACUAAGUAUGAUCACCUAGAAGAGUACCUGGAAGAAAGCUCAAUAAACUUCUGUUGAAUAAGUGAGCAUUUAAGGUACCUCUCCUCCUGACACUACUCCUUCAAAUUUUCUCAAGGCAGUGGUCAUUAGAUAGAAGUUAAGGGGCUG
Molecule: long non-coding RNA, 338 nt
Filed under: Equus caballus (horse)
Lineage: Eukaryota; Metazoa; Chordata; Mammalia; Perissodactyla; Equidae
Description: lncRNA (ENSECAG00000047737.1)
Source: RNAcentral